Molecule: ribosomal RNA, 1679 nt
Filed under: Vannella croatica
Lineage: Eukaryota; Discosea; Flabellinia; Vannellidae
Description: SSU rRNA
Rfam family: Eukaryotic small subunit ribosomal RNA
Source: RNAcentral
UGAACUGCGAUGGCUCAUUACAUCAGUUAUAGUUUAUUUGAUAGAUACGCGUUCAGCACUACAUGGAUACCUGUAGUAACAUAGAGCUAAUACAUGCAUAAGAAUCUGACUUUACGGAAGGAUUUGCACUUAUUAGAUACCAAACCAAUAUCCUCUCGGGGAUUUAUUAGGUGAAUCACAAUAACUGAACAAAUCGCAUAGUCUUGCACUGGCGAUGUAUCAAUCAAGUUUCUGCCCUAUCAACUUGAUGUUAGUGUAUUGUACUAACAUGGUUUUUACGGGUAACAGAGGAUUUAGGGUUCGAUCCUGGAGAAGGAGCAUGAGAAAUGGCUUACUAUUUCUAAGGAAAGCAGCAGGCGCGUAAAUUAUUCAAUGGGAAUAUCUUCCCGAAAUAGUGACAAAAAAUACUAAUGUAUUAAACUUUAUUUAGUACAAUUGGAAUGGAAACAAUCCAAAACCCUUAUUGAGUAACAAUUAGAGGGCAAGUCUGGUGCCAGCAGCCGCGGUAAUUCCAGCUCUAAUAGCGUAUAUUAAUACUGUUGCAGUUAAAACGCUCGUAGUUGAACUUAGAAUUAUUACAAGUUAUUUUACUUGAUUGUAAAGUGCUUGCUUAAUUCUUAUCUACUAGAUACUCUAUUCUGUACUUAAUUGUAUGGAAUAUCACCUAGCCAGUGGAACUUUGGUGAAAUAAUGCCUUUUUUAAUACCAGAGUGUAAAAACUUGAAGUGUUAAAUUGGGAUCACAUUAUUUUAUUGAAGUGGGGUUCUAGUUAAUUUACUUUGAGUAAAUUAGAGUGUUCAAAGCAGCCUCUUGGGGCUUUGAAUAGAUUUAGCAUGGGAUAAUAGAAUAGGAUUUGAUAAUCUAUUUGUUGGUUUGAAUUAAUCAAAUAAUGAUUAAUAGGGACAGUUGGGGGCAUUCAUAUUAAGUGGUUAGCGGUGAAAUGUGUGGACCCACUUAAGAUGAACUAAAGCGAAAGCAUUUGCCAAGGAUGUUUUCAUUAAUCAAGAACGAAAGUUAAGGGAUCGAAGACGAUUAGAUACCGUCGUAGUCUUGACUGUAAACUAUGCCGACCAGGGAUAUGAGUAGUAUAUUUCAAUAGAUUUCGGCUUAAUGAUACUUCUCCUUAUGCACCUUGUGAGAAAUCAUAAGUUUUUGGGUUCUGGGGGAAGUAUGGUCGCAAGGCUGAAACUUAAAGGAAUUGACGGAGGGGCACCACCAGGAGUGGAGCGUGCGGCUUAAUUUGACUCAACACGGGAAAACUUACCAGGUCCAGACAUUUGAAGGAUUGACAGAUUGAUAGCUCUUUCAUGAUUAAAUGGGUGGUGGUGCAUGGCCGUUCUUAGUUGGUGGAGUGAUUUGUCUGGUUAAUUCCGAUAACGAACGAGACCUUUACCAGCUAAAUAGUGAUUAUUAUGAUUUAUCAUAGUAAGAUUUACUUCUUAGAGGGACUAUUGGUUUUUAAACCAAAGGAAGUGAAGGCGAUAACAGGUCUGUGAUGCCCUUAGAUGUUCUGGGCUGCACGCGCGCUACAAUGAUCAACUCAUCAAGUUAUUUCAACUUGUUUGAAAUUUACUUUUCCUGUAGGAAUGGUUAAUCUUCAACGUUGAUCGUGCUUGGGAUAGAUAAUUGUAAUUAUUUAUCUUGAACAAGGAAUUCCUAGUAAUCGUAAUCAUCAGAUU